GUGGGGAAUCUUGCACAAUGGGCGAAAGCCUGAUGCAGCCAUGCCGCGUGAAUGAUGAAGGCCUUAGGGUUGUAAAAUUCUUUCGUCAGGGAUGAUAAUGACCGUACCUGAAGAAGAAGCCCCGGCUAACUUCGUGCCAGCAGCCGCGGUAAUACGAAGGGGGCUAGCGUUGUUCGGAAUUACUGGGCGUAAAGCGCACGUAGGCGGACUUUUAAGUCAGGUGUGAAAUCCCGGGGCUCAACCUCGGAACUGCAUUUGAAACUGGAAGUCUUGAGAUCAGGAGAGGUUAGCGGAAUACCGAGUGUAGAGGUGAAAUUCGUAGAUAUUCGGUGGAACACCAGUGUCGAAGGCGGCUAACUGGACUGAUACUGACGCUGAGGUGCGAAAGUGUGGGGAACAAACAGGAUUAGAAACCCGGGUAGUCC
Molecule: ribosomal RNA, 425 nt
Filed under: uncultured bacterium
Lineage: Bacteria
Description: partial 16S ribosomal RNA
Rfam family: Bacterial small subunit ribosomal RNA
Source: RNAcentral